Molecule: ribosomal RNA, 814 nt
Filed under: uncultured bacterium
Lineage: Bacteria
Description: bacterial SSU rRNA
Rfam family: Bacterial small subunit ribosomal RNA
Source: RNAcentral
UACGAGGGAUGCAAGCGUUAUCCGGAAUUAUUGGGCGUAAAGCGUUUGUAGGCGGGCGAGUGUGUUUAAUGUUAAAUCUUAAAGCUCAACUUUGAAAUUGCGUUAAAAACUGCUUGUCUUGAGUAUGGUAGGGGUAAAGGGAAUUCCCAGUGUAGCGGUGAAAUGCGUAGAUAUUGGGAAGAACACUAAACAGCGAAGGCACUUUACUAGGCUAAUACUGACGCUGAGAAACGAAAGGUAAGGUAGCGAAACGGAUUAGAUACCCGUGUAGUCUUACCCGUAAACUAUGGACACUAAACGGUAAAUUUUUAAUUUACUGUUAAAGCUAACGCGUUAAGUGUCCCGCCUGGGGAGUAUGCUUGCAAAAGUGAAACUCAAAGGAAUUGACGGGGGCCCGCACAAGCGGUGGAGCAUGUGGUUUAAUUCGACGGUACACGAAGAACCUUACCAGGAUUUGACAUGCUAGAUAGUUGCUUGAAAGAGUAACGUGCCGUAAGGAAUCUAGACACAGGUGGUGCAUGGCUGUCGUCAGUUCGUGUUGUGAAAUGUUGGGUUAAGUCCCGCAACGAACGCAACCCUUGUCUUUAGUUAUUUUCUAAAGAGACUGCCUGUAAUAAACAGGAGGAAGGUAAGGAUGAGGUCAAGUCAUCAUGCCCCUUAUGUCCUGGGCUACACACGUGCUACAAUGGGAAAGACAAUGAGCUGCAAAUCUGUAAAUUUAAGCAAAUCUCUUAAACUUUCUCGUAGUUCGGAUUGUGGGCUGCAACUCGCCCACAUGAAGUUGGAAUCGCUAGUAAUCGCCAGUCAGCUAUAU